RNAcentral lists this ribosomal RNA (716 nucleotides) under uncultured bacterium. Its description in RNAcentral is "bacterial SSU rRNA". It matches the Rfam family "Bacterial small subunit ribosomal RNA", at positions 111 to 823 of the family's 1533-position model. The record is from RNAcentral.
UAACGCGUAUGCAACUUACCUAUCAGAGGGGGAUAGCCCGGCGAAAGUCGGAUUAAUACCCCAUAAAACAGGGGUCCCGCAUGGGAAUAUUUGUUAAAGAUUCAUCGCUGAUAGAUAGGCAUGCGUUCCAUUAGGCAGUUGGCGGGGUAACGGCCCACCAAACCGACGAUGGAUAGGGGUUCUGAGAGGAAGGUCCCCCACAUUGGUACUGAGACACGGACCAAACUCCUACGGGAGGCAGCAGUGAGGAAUAUUGGUCAAUGGCCGAGAGGCUGAACCAGCCAAGUCGCGUGAAGGAAGAAGGAUCUAUGGUUUGUAAACUUCUUUUAUAGGGGAAUAAAGUGGAGGACGUGUCCUUUUUUGUAUGUACCCUAUGAAUAAGCAUCGGCUAACUCCGUGCCAGCAGCCGCGGUAAUACGGAGGAUGCGAGCGUUAUCCGGAUUUAUUGGGUUUAAAGGGUGCGUAGGUGGUGAUUUAAGUCAGCGGUGAAAGUUUGUGGCUCAACCAUAAAAUUGCCGUUGAAACUGGGUUACUUGAGUGUGUUUGAGGUAGGCGGAAUGCGUGGUGUAGCGGUGAAAUGCAUAGAUAUCACGCAGAACUCCGAUUGCGAAGGCAGCUUACUAAACCAUAACUGACACUGAAGCACGAAAGCGUGGGGGAUCAAACAGGAUUAGAUACCCUGGUAGUCCACGCAGUAAACGAUGAUUACUAGGAGU